GUUUCUUCAGCAGCACCUGUACUAAAAUUGGGAUGACACAGAGAAAAUGAUCACAGCCUCUUCGCAAGGAUGGUAUGCAAAUUCGGAUAGCAUUCUAUGUUUUU
Molecule: small nuclear RNA, 104 nt
Organism: Onychomys torridus (southern grasshopper mouse)
Lineage: Eukaryota; Metazoa; Chordata; Mammalia; Rodentia; Cricetidae
Source: RefSeq, a predicted model, not a curated record